GCUCAGCUGACGAGUUUCAAAUAAGACGAAACGCACGUCCCGUAU
RNAcentral lists this non-coding RNA (45 nucleotides) under Schistosoma mansoni. Lineage: Eukaryota; Metazoa; Platyhelminthes; Trematoda; Strigeidida; Schistosomatidae. The record is from RNAcentral.